GGGGCCUUAGCUCAGUGGUAGAGCACUUGCCUAGCUUUCAUGAAGUCCUGGGUUCAAUCCCCAGCACCA
This 69-nucleotide transfer RNA is filed under the name Ictidomys tridecemlineatus (thirteen-lined ground squirrel). RNAcentral's name for it is "Spermophilus tridecemlineatus (thirteen-lined ground squirrel) tRNA". It matches the Rfam family "tRNA". From Rfam's summary of the family: Transfer RNA (tRNA) molecules are approximately 80 nucleotides in length. Their secondary structure includes four short double-helical elements and three loops (D, anti-codon, and T loops). Further hydrogen bonds mediate the characteristic L-shaped molecular structure. tRNAs have two regions of fundamental functional importance: the anti-codon, which is responsible for specific mRNA codon recognition, and the 3' end, to which the tRNAs corresponding amino acid is attached (by aminoacyl-tRNA synthetases). tRNAs cope with the degeneracy of the genetic code in two manners: having more than one tRNA (with a specific anti-codon) for a particular amino acid; and 'wobble' base-pairing, i.e. permitting non-standard base-pairing at the 3rd anti-codon position. RNAcentral also lists the same sequence under 1 other name. The record is from Rfam by way of RNAcentral. Lineage: Eukaryota; Metazoa; Chordata; Mammalia; Rodentia; Sciuridae.